GAUGAACGCUAGCGGCAGGCCUAAUACAUGCAAGUCGUACGGGUUAUAGUUUUCGGAUUAUGAUUAGUGGCGUACGGGUGCGUAACGCGUACACAACGUACCUUUUACUGGGGGAUAGCGGUGGGAAACUGCCAGUAAUACCCCAUAGUAUCUCGAGAAGGCAUCUUUUUGAGAUUAAAGCUCCGGCGGUAAGAGAUCGGUGUGCGUCCGAUUAGCUAGUUGGCGGGGUAACGGCCCACCAAGGCGACGAUCGGUAGGGGGUGUGAGAGCAUGGCCCCCCACACGGGUACUGAGACACGGACCCGACUCCUACGGGAGGCAGCAGUAAGGAAUAUUGGACAAUGGAGGGAACUCUGAUCCAGCCAUGCCGCGUGAAGGAUGACUGCCCUAUGGGUUGUAAACUUCUUUUGAGUGGGAACAAAAUGCCUGAUUAAUCAGGAGCUGAGGGUACCACUAGAAUAAGCACCGGCUAACUCCGUG
This 480-nucleotide ribosomal RNA is filed under the name uncultured organism. RNAcentral's name for it is "bacterial SSU rRNA". It matches the Rfam family "Bacterial small subunit ribosomal RNA", at positions 28 to 507 of the family's 1533-position model. The record is from RNAcentral.